This 64-nucleotide transfer RNA is filed under the name Heterochelus sp. SA2. RNAcentral describes it as "tRNA-Leu". Lineage: Eukaryota; Metazoa; Arthropoda; Insecta; Coleoptera; Scarabaeidae. The record is from RNAcentral.
UUACUUUGGCAGAUUAGUGCUUUAGAUUUAGAAUUUAAAAAUGUAUAUUUAGUACAAGUAAUAA